UGAAAAGCAGCCGCUCAACGGUUGUCGUGCAGUUGAUACUGGUUUUCUUGAGUGCGCGCGAGGAUGGUGGAAUUUGUGGUGUAGCGGUGAAAUGCUUAGAUAUCACAAAGAACUCCGAUUGCGAAGGCAGCUGUCCGGAGCGCAACUGACGCUGAGGCUCGAAGGUGCGGGUAUCAAACAGGAUUAGAUACCCUGGUAGUCCGCACGGUAAACGAUGGAUGCUAGUGGUCGGCGACAGACUGUCGGUCACCGAGCGAAAGCGUUAAGCAUCCCACCUGGGGAGUACGCCGGCAACGGUGAAACUCAAAGGAAUUGACGGGGGCCCGCACAAGCGGAGGAACAUGUGGUUUAAUUCGAUGAUACGCGAGGAACCUUACCCGGGCUUGAAUUGCAGCUGCAUGGAGCAGAGAUGUUCCUUCCCUUCGGGGCUGCUGUGAAGGUGCUGCAUGGUUGUCGUCAGCUCGUGCCGUGAGGUGUCGGCUUAAGUGCCAUAACGAGUGCAACCCUUUUCCCCGGUUGCCAUCAGGUAAUGCUGGGCACUCCGAGGAUACUGCCGCCGCAAGGCGUGAGGAAGGUGGGGAUGACGUCAAAUCAGCACGGCCCUUACGUCCGGGGCUACACACGUGUUACAAUGGGGGAUACAGAGCGUUGCCACCCGGUGACGGGGCGCCAAUCGUGAAAGUCCCUCCCAGUUCGGACUGGAGUCUGCAACCCGACUCCACGAAGCUGGAUUCGCUAGUAAUCGCGCAUCAGCCAUGGCGCGGUGAAUACGUUCCCGGGCCUUGUACACACCGCCCGUCAAGCCAUG
RNAcentral lists this ribosomal RNA (808 nucleotides) under uncultured bacterium. RNAcentral's name for it is "bacterial SSU rRNA". It matches the Rfam family "Bacterial small subunit ribosomal RNA", at positions 595 to 1406 of the family's 1533-position model. The record is from RNAcentral.